RNAcentral lists this ribosomal RNA (495 nucleotides) under uncultured bacterium. Its description in RNAcentral is "partial 16S ribosomal RNA". It matches the Rfam family "Bacterial small subunit ribosomal RNA", at positions 28 to 507 of the family's 1533-position model. The record is from RNAcentral.
GAUGAACGCUAGCGAUAGGCUUAACACAUGCAAGUCGAGGGGCAGCAUGGUCUUAGCUUGCUAAGACUGAUGGCGACCGGCGCACGGGUGCGUAACGCGUAUGCAACUUGCCUCACAGAGGGGGAUAACCCGUCGAAAGACGGACUAAUACCGCGUACACUCCAUCUUUGGCAUCCAAGUUAGAGGAAAUGAAAUUCGCUGUGAGAUAGGCAUGCGUCCCAUUAGCUAGUUGGUGAGGUAACGGCUCACCAAGGCGACGAGGGGUAGGGGAACUGAGAGGGUGAUCGGAGAAAGUAGAAGUGAGAUAAGGUCAAGACUGCUAGGGGAGGCAGAAGGAUGGAAGCGUACGAAAUGGGUGGAAGUUUGAUGUAGAAAAUACGCGUGAGUGAGGAAGGUCUUGGGAUCGGUAAACUCUGCUAGUAGGGAAGAAAAAAUGUGUAACUAACCAUGCACGUCCUGAAGGUACAUUAGCAGAAAGCCACGGCUAACUACGUG